GAUGAAGAACGUAGCGAAAUGCGAUAAGUAGUGUGAAUUGCAGAAUUCGGUGAAUCAUCGAAUCUUUGAACGCACAUUGCGCCCCUUGGUAUUCCAUGGGGCAUGCCUGUUCGAGCGUCAUUUGUACCUUCAAGCUUUGCUUGGUGUUGGGUGUUUGUCCAUUCUCUUGCAGAGGGACUCGCCUUAAAGUAAUUGGCAGCCAGUGUUUUGGUUUUGAAGCGCAGCACAAGUCGCGAUUCAAAGCUAUACGCCCGCUUCCACAAGCCUUUUUCACUUUUGACCUCGGAUCGGGUAGGGAUACCCGCUGAACUUAAGCAUAUCAAUAAGCGGAGGA
Molecule: unclassified non-coding RNA, 334 nt
Filed under: soil metagenome
Description: partial contains 5.8S ribosomal RNA, internal transcribed spacer 2, and large subunit ribosomal RNA
Rfam family: 5.8S ribosomal RNA (bases 1-120)
Source: RNAcentral